CUAAAUACUCCUGACUGACCGAUAGUGAACCAGUACCGUGAGGGAAAGGCGAAAAGAACCCCGGCGAGGGGAGUGAAAAAGAACCUGAAACCGUGUACGUACAAGCAGUGGGAGCCUCUUAAUGGGGUGACUGCGUACCUUUUGUAUAAUGGGUCAGCGACUUAUAUUCUGUAGCAAGGUUAACCGAAUAGGGGAGCCGAAGGGAAACCGAGUCUUAACUGGGCGUUAAGUUGCAGGGUAUAGACCCGAAACCCGGUGAUCUAGCCAUGGGCAGGUUGAAGGUUGGGUAACACUAACUGGAGGACCGAACCGACUAAUGUUGAAAAAUUAGCGGAUGACUUGUGGCUGGGGGUGAAAGGCCAAUCAAACCGGGAGAUAGCUGGUUCUCCCCGAAAGCUAUUUAGGUAGCGCCUCGUGAAUUCAUCUCCGGGGGUAGAGCACUGUUUCGGCAAGGGGGUCAUCCCGACUUACCAACCCGAUGCAAACUGCGAAUACCGGAGAAUGUUAUCACGGGAGACACACGGCGGGUGCUAACGUCCGUCGUGAAGAGGGAAACAACCCAGACCGCCAGCUAAGGUCCCAAAGUCAUGGUUAAGUGGGAAACGAUGUGGGAAGGCCCAGACAGCCAGGAUGUUGGCUUAGAAGCAGCCAUCAUUUAAAGAAAGCGUAAUAGCUCACUGGUCGAGUCGGCCUGCGCGGAAGAUGUAACGGGGCUAAACCAUGCACCGAAGCUGCGGCAGCGACGCUUAUGCGUUGUUGGGUAGGGGAGCGUUCUGUAAGCCUGUGAAGGUGUGCUGUGAGGCAUGCUGGAGGUAUCAGAAGUGCGAAUGCUGACAUAAGUAACGAUAAAGCGGGUGAAAAGCCCGCUCGCCGGAAGACCAAGGGUUCCUGUCCAACGUUAAUCGGGGCAGGGUGAGUCGACCCCUAAGGCGAGGCCGAAAGGCGUAGUCGAUGGGAAACAGGUUAAUAUUCCUGUACUUGGUGUUACUGCGAAGGGGGGACGGAGAAGGCUAUGUUGGCCGG
Molecule: ribosomal RNA, 1023 nt
Filed under: Escherichia coli
Lineage: Bacteria; Pseudomonadati; Pseudomonadota; Gammaproteobacteria; Enterobacterales; Enterobacteriaceae
Description: partial 23S ribosomal RNA
Rfam family: Bacterial large subunit ribosomal RNA
Source: RNAcentral